Molecule: long non-coding RNA, 400 nt
Filed under: Struthio camelus australis
Lineage: Eukaryota; Metazoa; Chordata; Aves; Struthioniformes; Struthionidae
Description: lncRNA (ENSSCUG00000010089.1)
Source: RNAcentral
GGAAAAAACCCAGUCAAACACUUAAAGGCUAGACUCCCUACGGACUGAGGAACUGAGCUACUGUCUGCGCCUUUGUGGUCAGGGGACUGUGCAGGGAAUGCAAACUCUAGUCCCCUAGAGGAAGGCACUGCAUGCCCUGUGCUCCAGGGCAAACAGAAGGAGCAGGACUGCUACCACCAGUUUUACCUGAGAGCACCAUGGCUUAAUUUACUGGCCAGUUCCAGUAAAAGGUGCAAGUUUUAAACUUUGCUGCUGGACACCUGCUCUGGAGUCCUGACAAACCCUGUGGAUCCUGCCAGCUGAGGAGGAGCCUUCCCAGAUCCCAGUCCCACCAGCUCUCCCCAGGUCAUCACGAUGACUCAACAUGAACCAAACCAUCAGAGCUCCAACUUGCCGUUUG